UGAGGAAUUUUGCGCAAUGGGGGCAACCCUGACGCAGCAACGCCGCGUGGGUGAUGAAGGCCUUCGGGUCGUAAAGCCCUGUCAGGUGGGAAGAAAGCCCUGGGGAUGAAAAAGCCUUGGGAGUGACGGUACCACCAGAGGAAGCACCGGCUAACUCCGUGCCAGCAGCCGCGGUAAUACGGAGGGUGCGAGCGUUAUUCGGAAUUACUGGGCGUAAAGCGCGUGUAGGCGGCUUGACAAGUCUGAUGUGAAAGCCCUGGGCUCAACCUGGGAAGUGCAUUGGAAACUGGUAGGCUUGAGUACCGGAGAGGAUGGGGGAAUUCCCGGUGUAGAGGUGAAAUUCGUAGAGAUCGGGAGGAAUACCAGUGGCGAAGGCGCCCAUCUGGACGGCUACUGACGCUGAGACGCGAGAGCGUGGGGAGCAAACA
Molecule: ribosomal RNA, 428 nt
Filed under: uncultured prokaryote
Description: bacterial SSU rRNA
Rfam family: Bacterial small subunit ribosomal RNA
Source: RNAcentral